RNAcentral lists this long non-coding RNA (1131 nucleotides) under Cicer arietinum (chickpea). RNAcentral's name for it is "long non-coding RNA (CARI_LNC001730)". Lineage: Eukaryota; Viridiplantae; Streptophyta; Magnoliopsida; Fabales; Fabaceae. The record is from RNAcentral.
UAAAUUUCUUCAGUUUCCAACUCUGCUUCAGAGUAAGAAGCUCUUGGUUCUAGAAAAGUGAUGCUCUUUUGCAUGAAAUAGAUACCAAGCACCAACAUCCUGAAUCGUUAUUAAAGUGAUAAAUAUGCAAUACAAAAUGGAGAAUGAAUGUAGCUGGGAAUACAACACACUCAUCAAUGAACUAAUUCAGGGGAUGGAUGUAGCAAAGAGAUUGAAGGAAGAGUUGAGGACACCAUAUUCCCUUAACACAAGGGAUUCACAGGUGAAGAUCAUACUAUCUUCUUAUGAAAAGGCUCUACAAAUUCUAAAAUGCAAUGAACCAACUUCCAAGACGCAGACCAUGAGUCGAGCAAAAACUUUGUUACCCGAGUCCCCGGUGUCUGCUAAUGGGAGUCUGCUGAGCGAGGACAUUGAUGGGGCCAUCCAAGAUCACCAGGAGGUUAAACACAAUUCAAAGAAAAGGUGAAUUUAUUAGACACACUUGGUAGCAGCGUUUCUGCCACAAAAACCAACUAUGUUUGGUUAUACUAAAGCUCCUAAGUCCUAAUAUUAACAAUAUAUAUUUUCUCAAAAUUUUGAUUUCAGAAAGGUUACCCCCAAAUGGAUGGAUCAGAUAAGAGUGAGCUGUGAAAGUGGCCUUGAAGGACCACAUGAAGAUGGCUACAACUGGAGAAAAUAUGGUCAGAAAGAUAUUCUAGGUGCCAAAUAUCCAAGGUAAGAGGACUUUUCUCACUAUCAUGCUUCAGAAAAGAAUCAAAAGAAUUCCUAAGCAUAUAUAAAUUGCAUUUACCUGUACUGGCAUCUCAUUAACAAACCAUUGUGACAUUUGCAGAAGUUACUAUCGGUGCACCUUCCGCAACACACAAAACUGCUGGGCCACGAAGCAAGUGCAGAGAUCGGACGAAGAUCCCAAUAUGUUUGACAUAACUUAUAGAGGAAGGCAUACCUGUUCUCAAGGAAACAAUGUCACUGAGCCACGUAAGUCACAAGACAAACAAGAGAAACCACAAAGUCAAAAUAAUGAUAUUCACCAUGCACAACCAUCACAAGAAAACUUCACUAAGUUCAGCAACACCUUGACUGUCAAAACGGAUAAUCUCGGAAACGAAGAAAUGACAUGUCCUUUCACCU